This is a non-coding RNA of Schistosoma haematobium, 45 nucleotides long. Lineage: Eukaryota; Metazoa; Platyhelminthes; Trematoda; Strigeidida; Schistosomatidae. The record is from Rfam.
ACCCAGCUGAUGAGUCUCAAAUAGGACGAAGCUCUCGUCCUGGAU